GGCCUCUUAGCUCAGCCUGGUUAGAGCACCACACUUUUAAUGUGGGGGUCGCGGGUUCGAAUCCCGCAGAGGCUA
RNAcentral lists this transfer RNA (75 nucleotides) under Candidatus Woesearchaeota archaeon. Its description in RNAcentral is "tRNA-Lys". It matches the Rfam family "tRNA". From Rfam's summary of the family: Transfer RNA (tRNA) molecules are approximately 80 nucleotides in length. Their secondary structure includes four short double-helical elements and three loops (D, anti-codon, and T loops). Lineage: Archaea; Nanobdellati; Candidatus Woesearchaeota. The record is from RNAcentral.